Non-coding RNA from Acanthosepion pharaonis, 100 nucleotides. Lineage: Eukaryota; Metazoa; Mollusca; Cephalopoda; Sepiida; Sepiidae. The record is from the annotation of a GenBank genome assembly.
CAUUGAAACACUGGUUCUCAUAUGAUCACUGAAGUUAAACAACUUCUAGCCUGGUCAGUGCUGAGAUGGGUGACUUCUUGGGAAUGCCAGGUGCUGUAAG